GAUGAACGCUGGCGGCGUGCUUAACACAUGCAGGUCGAACGGAAAGGCCCAAGCUUGCUUGGGUCCUCGAGUGGCGAACGGGUGAGUAACACGUGGGUGAUCUGCCCUGCACUUCGGGAUAAGCCUGGGAAACUGGGUCUAAUACCGGAUAGGACCACUUCUUGGAUGUUGUGGUGGAAAGUUUUUUCGGUGUGGGAUGAGCUCGCGGCCUAUCAGCUUGUUGGUGGGGUAAUGGCCUACCAAGGCGUCGACGGGUAGCCGGCCUGAGAGGGUGUACGGCCACAUUGGGACUGAGAUACGGCCCAGACUCCUACGGGAGGCAGCAGUGGGGAAUAUUGCACAAUGGGCGCAAGCCUGAUGCAGCGACGCCGCGUGGGGGAUGACGGCCUUCGGGUUGUAAACUCCUUUCGCUAGGGACGAAGCGUUUUGUGACGGUACCUGGAGAAGAAGCACCGGCUAACUACGUG
This 467-nucleotide ribosomal RNA is filed under the name uncultured bacterium. RNAcentral's name for it is "partial 16S ribosomal RNA". It matches the Rfam family "Bacterial small subunit ribosomal RNA", at positions 28 to 507 of the family's 1533-position model. The record is from RNAcentral.